RNAcentral lists this ribosomal RNA (253 nucleotides) under uncultured bacterium. RNAcentral describes it as "partial 16S ribosomal RNA". It matches the Rfam family "Bacterial small subunit ribosomal RNA", at positions 524 to 776 of the family's 1533-position model. The record is from RNAcentral.
UACGUAGGUCGCAAGCGUUGUCCGGAUUUACUGGGCGUAAAGAGCGCGCAGGCGGCUGGUCAAGUCCGAUGUGAAAUCUCCCGGCUCAACUGGGAAACUGCAUCGGAAACUGAUCGGCUUGAAGAUGGGAGAGGGUAGUGGAAUUCCCGGCGUAGUGGUGAAAUGCGUAGAUAUCGGGAGGAACACCAGUGGCGAAGGCGACUACCUGGCCCAUUCUUGACGCUGAGGCGCGAAAGCUAGGGGAGCGAACGGG